Molecule: long non-coding RNA, 17147 nt
Filed under: Triticum aestivum (bread wheat)
Lineage: Eukaryota; Viridiplantae; Streptophyta; Magnoliopsida; Poales; Poaceae
Description: long non-coding RNA (TAES_LNC025241)
Source: RNAcentral
UUCGGUCCCAAUGCUUACAAAAGCCUUGGUGGUAACUCCUUUGGUCUAGUUAUAGUUGAUGAUUAUUCCAGAUUUACGUGGGUAUUUUUCCUUGAUGACAAAUCGCAGGUUCAGAGAAUCUUCAAAACCUUUGCCAGAAAGGCCCAAAAUCAAUUUGAGGUGAAGAUCAAGAAAGUUCGGAGUGACAAUGGAACGGAGUUCAAGAACGCCAAUGUAGACUCUUUUCUCGAUGAGGAAGGGAUUCUACAUGAGUUCUCGGCUACAUACACUCCUCAACAAAAUGGAGUUGUUGAGAGGAAGAACCGAACGCUCAUAGAGAUGGCGAGAACAAUGCUUGAUGAAUACAAGACACCGAAGCAUUUUUGGGGUGAAGCGGUCGAGACAGCUUGUCAUGCUAUCAACAGGCUUUAUCUUCAUAAGCUCCUCGGCAAGACAUCAUACGAGCUCCUCACCGGUAACAAACCCCAAGUGGGAUACUUUCGUGUCUUUGGUUCGAAAUGCUAUAUCCUUGAUAAGCAUCGUCGGUCUAAAUUUGCUCCUAAAACUCAUGAAGGCUUUUUUCUUGGUUAUGGAUCAAACUCCCACACCUACCGUGUCUACAAUAAUUUCACCCGAAAGGUUGAAGAGACGGUAGACGUGAAGUUUGAUGAAUCUAAUGGCUCGCAAGUAGAGCAAAUGCCUAUUGAUGUAGGAGACAAGGACCCAUCGGAAGCUAUCCAAGAUUUAUCUAUUGGAAAGAUCCGUCCCAUGGAAGUGAAGGAGAGUACCUCAUCUACAUAUGUGGAGCCCCCUACCUCACAGCGAAAUGAACCUCAAGGCAACAUGGAGGCUUCCACAAGUGGAACUCACCAAGAUGAGGAAGUGCAACAAGAAGAUCCACCACAACCUCCUUCUCCACCGCCUCAAGACAACACCAACAACAAUGAAGAAGAAGAAGAGGAAGAUGAAGAUGAUGAGGAAGCUCAGCCACAACCUCAACAAAAGCUAUCCCGAGUUCGAGCAAGAGUCAAGAAAAAUCAUCCCGUGGAACAAAUGAUGAACGAUAUCAACUCCGGGAGAAUUACUCGCUCUAAAACUCGCUUAGCUAACUUUUGUGAGCAUUACUCAUUUAUCUAUAGUAUUGAACCUAUGAAGGUAGAAGAAGCACUUGAAGACCCGGAUUGGGUGAACGCUAUGCACGAAGAAUUACACAACUUUGAGAGGAACAAGGUAUGGACUUUGGUAGAGAAGCCCAAGGAUGAUCAAAACGUCAUUGGAACCAAAUGGGUGUUUCGAAACAAGCAAGAUGAAGAUGGACAAGUCAUCCGCAACAAGGCUCGUCUCGUAGCUCAAGGUUACACACAAGUUGAAGGUAUGGACUAUGGUGAGACCUAUGCCCCCGUUGCUAGACUUGAGUCCAUUCACAUUCUUCUUGCUUAUGCCAAUCACCAUGAUAUUACUCUCUAUCAAAUGGAUAUCAAAAGUGCUUUCCUAAAUGGUGAAAUUGAGGAGGAAGUAUUUGUGAAACAACCUCCCAGAUUUGUGAAUCCCAAAAAGCCUAAUCAUGUUUACAAGUUGCACAAAGCUCUUUAUGGUCUUAAACAAGCUCCUAGAGCUUGGUACAAAUGCUUGACUAGCUUUCUUCUUGAAAAAGGCUUUGAGAUUGGAAAGAUAGACUCAAUGCUGUUCACGAAAAGGGUUGAUGGUGAACUAUUUGUGUGCCAAAUAUAUGUUGAUGAUAUUAUCUUUGGUUCAACUAACCCUCAUUUUAGCGAGAAGUUUGGAAAGCUCAUGUCGGAGAAGUAUGAGAUGUCCAUGAUGAGUGAACUCAAAUUCUUCCUUGGGUUGCAAAUCAAGCAAUCUAAGGAGGGUACCUUUGUCUCACAAACAAAGUACACCAAGGAUCUCUUCAAGAAGUUCAACAUGCAAGAAAGCAAAGGUAUGAGAACCCCCAUGCCUACAAGUGAACAUAAUGACUUGACAAAAGAUGGAGAACCCGUUGAUCAAAAGGUUUACCGAUCUAUGAUUGGUUCUCUACUAUAUCUUUGUGCUUCUCGUCCUGACAUAAUGUUGAGUGUAUGCAUGUGUGCUCGAUAUCAAGCAGCCCCUAAAGAAUGUCAUCUUAAAGCUGUUAAAAGGAUUGUGAGAUAUUUGAUACACACACCAAACUUUGGCAUUUGGUAUCCUAAGAGGGCCUCUUUCGACCUUAUUGGCUAUUCCGACUCGGACUGUGCUGGUGACAGGGUUGAUAGAAAGUCAACUUCGGGUACGUGUCAAUUCCUUGGUCGAUCCCUUGUAUCUUGGUCCUCCAAGAAACAAAAUUCGGUAUCAUUAUCCACUGCCGAAGCGGAAUAUAUUGCUGCUGGUUCGUGUUGUGCUCAAUUGCUAUGGAUGACACAAACGCUUAAGGAUUAUGGGAUACAUGUGAGACAUGUUCCCUUGCUUUGUGAUAAUGAGAGUGCGAUUAAAAUUGGACACAAUCCCGUGCAACACUCUCGAACGAAACAUAUUGAAGUUCGUCACCAUUUCAUUCGUGAUCACAUUGCCAAGGGUGACAUCAAUCUUAAGCAUGUUCGUACUGACAAACAACUCGCUGAUAUCUUUACAAAACCUCUUGAUGAGAAGGUGUUUUGUCGCUUAAGGAGUGAGUUGAACAUCAUUGAUGCCUCAAACUUGGAGUGAGAACUCCAUUGAUGCAUGCAAGGCAUGAGCCUACUUGACUAAUCCUUGAUAUUUCUCUUAUGAUGGUAAUCAUAUGUCUUGGACACAUUUGCCUCCUUGUAUUGCAUCUAACUCCUUGCAGGUACUUGGAUGAUCUACAUUCCACAAGACUACCACACACUCAAAUCAUGAGUAAUCUUGUCAUUGACCAAGUAUCUAGCCCUUUGGGAUGUUGAGUUCAAGGAACAAAAUUCCACAUAUCCUUUUUGACAUCUUAUACAUCUAGUAUUUCGCUCUUGUCAUCUUGGAUAUCCUUGAGUAUUUCCUUGCUUGCCUAACCCAUGUAGGAAGAUGAACUACACAAGUGGAAAUGGCGCUCCAACUUCACAUUCAAUGAGCACCUACAUCAAGUUUACCUACAUGAACAAAGCAACAACAAGCCCAAGGUAUGUUCUUCACAUCUUUAAGGAGCUUUGCUCAAAGUCAUGAGUACACGCAGCUUCAUAAGAUGUGAUCACAUCAAAUGCUUAAUCGAAAAAUGGCAACCCCAUUUUGAGCUUAAACGAUGAGUAUGACCCAUGAUCAAAUGUUCUCAUUUGACUCCUAAGUCAAUAUACUCACACAUAGGUGACCUUGUCGCCGACCCUUAUCUAGAUGAAGUACAUAUGUUUUGGAGUCUUUCUAUUUUCUCUUAUGUUCUCUCAUUGAGUUUUUUUUUUAAAAAAACUUCAUCUAGGAAUCUUUUUCAUUUCUUUUUUUUGGUCUUUGUGAAUAUCCUUCUGGCUCUGAUCAAUUCCUCGAAAAUCAUUCACAAAUUCAUUGCAAACCCUUUGAAACAUUCCUCGCAAAUUGAGCUGAAUUAUUUCUGUAUUUCCUUGGAAUUAAACUCGGCGUCACCGAUUUAAAUAUUUCGGUCUAACCGAAAAGGAUCUACCCUAAGUCCCUGACUUUCGGACCCACCGAUCCAUCUUAAUUCGGUGUCACCGAUUUAUUUCUUUCAGGAUAUCAUCUUCUGCAGCUCCACUCAAUGAUUCUCUAUGCAUGUUCCUUUUUGCCCUAUUGUGAUUCUUAAGGAUCCCACUUCUUUCUUUCCAUCUUCCCUAACCUUCCUAGUUUGCUGUCCUUUUCGGCACUUGAUGUCAAAGGGGGAGAAGACUUAGGGGAGAAGAGAAGAUUUAGGGGGAGAAGAAGAGCAAUCUUACCUUAAGGGGGAGAGAAUCACAUCAAAGCUUUGCCGUGUUUUUCCUUAUAAGAGAAUUUCUUGCCGUGUUUCACAUUGGACAUUACAAUUGGCGUCAUUCUCAUUUGGCAUCAUUCUUUUGAUUUUGCUCUUUCCAUCAAACCCCUUGAUCGUAGAGAACUCAAAGGGAGAGGAAUCUUCACAAUUGAUAUCUUAUGGAAAGCAAAAUCUCUCAGAGUUCAUUGAAAAUCUUUUAGUUUCAGAGACAUGUUUGCUGAUUCAAGCUUGUGCUCAAUAUGAGACACUCUUUAUACAUGUCAUCCCUGGCUUGGUACUCUUGAUGUUCUUGCAGUUGGUUGAAGAAAUACUCUUGUGUUAUCUAACCUUGUUUUCCCAAGUUUAUCUCUUCAGGUACAAUGCCAAGGAACCUCAAGGUAAGUAUAUGCACUUUGCAGAAUGUGCAUGAUGGUGACUUGCUUGUGAAUACUUGUUUGCAAGAAAUCACCAUGCACAUAUGCAUUAUCACUCACUUCUUUUCAUCUGCUCUGAUGCAUGUAGCCAAGCUGCAUGUAGCACAUCUUGCUUUUCUCUCUUGUGUGCUUGUGGUAGUCCAAAACCGUAAUUUAUGAAAAUCUUGCACACUUGUAGGGGGAGCCUGUGUACUACAUGCUUGUCAAAGCUUUCGUGAUAAUUCUGUCUUUCUUUCAAUAAGCUUUGAUGUCUUGUUUAGUGUGUUGCCAUCAAUUACCAAAAAGGGGGAGAUUGAAAGCACAUUUGCUCCUCGGGUGGUUUUGGUAAUUAAUGACAACAUACUUUGUGGUUGGACUAAUGCUUUUAUCAAGUAUGUUUCAGGAAAUUCAAUCACAUUGGCAUGGCAAAAGGACUAAAGAGGUGGACCCCUCAAAAUGCUAAGGCAAGCAUUGGCAAAAGCUCAAGACUCCAUUUUUGGUUUAGUGAUCCUAGAUCACAUUGAGUCCAUAGGAAAAGCCAAUACUAUUAAAAGGGGAUGAGGUUAUGAUGAUGAUCUGGUUGCUCAAGUGCUUAGUGAUACAUCUCCUAAACUAUCAGCAACUUUCACUGCCAUAUACACUCAUAAGUAGUCUCGGUCCCACCGAUAUUCCAAACUCAGUCACACCGAGAUGAACCACCUCAGCCAUAAGCCAAACCCUAGAAAACUCGGAUUUUCCGAUUCUGAACUCGGUCUCACCGAAACAUGAGUUGCCAAGCUUCUGUAACCUUCUAUCAUCAAAUCGGUGUCACCGAGAUGAUGAAGUCGGUCCCACCGAAACUGGCAUGCUCUUGUCAUUGCACGAAUCGGACUAACCGAGAUUGUAUUUUCGGUCCCACCGAAAAUCCCAACGUUCACAUUAUUUGAACUAUCAGUCUCACCGAGUUGUCCACUUCGGUCCCACCGAGAUUGCUCAAAUGUGUGUAACGGUUGGAUUUUGUGUGGAGGCUAUUUAUACCCCUCCACCCCCUCUUCAUUCGUGGAGAGAGCCAUCAGAAAGAACUACCACUCCUACCUUACAUUUCUGAGAAGAGAACUACCUACCCUUGUGUUGAGAUCAAGUUGCUCCACUCCCACCAUAUGAAGCUUGAUCUCUAGCCUUCCCAAGUUGCUUUCCACUCAAUCCUUUCUUCCACCACAGCCAAAUCAGUGAGGAGAGUUGAGUGUUGGGGAGAUUAUCAUUUGAAGCACAAGAGCAAGGAGUUCGUCAUCAUCUACAACAUCUAUUACCUUUUGGAGGGUGGUGCCUCCUAGAUUGGUUAGGUGUCGCUUGGGAGCCUCCGUCAUCGAGAUGUGGAGUUGAACCAAGAAGUUUGUAAGGGCAAGGAGAUCGCCUACUUCGUGAAGAUCUACCCCGAGUAAGGCUAGCCCUCCGUGGGCGUAGGCCAUGAUGGAAUAGACAAGGUUGCUUCUUCGUGGACCCUUCGUGGGUGGAGCCCUCCGUGGACUCGCGCAGCCGUUACCCUCCGUGGGUUGAAGUCUCCAUCAACGUGGAAGUACGAUAGCACCACCUAUCGGAACCACGAGAAAAAUCACCGCGUCUCCAAAUUGCGUUUGAUCUUCUCCACUUCUCUUUACUACUUGUGCAAUUUACUUUCCGCUGCCCAUACUCUAGAAUUGCAUGUGUAGUGUGCUACUUGACUUGUAUGUUAUGCAAAAUCUGCCAAAAUCUGUCCUUGAUAAAAGACAGAAUUUUUAUCUUGUCGAGUAGUCUAAUCACCCCCCCCUCUAGACACUCUCACCUUCUUCGAUCCCUCAAGCGGGAAACGUGGAGCUCUACCUCUCACUCGCCCAUGUCUUUACAAUCACUCUCCUCUCACCUUCCAUGGUUCCUCACCGUCGUGAGCAUCGACGACGGGAAGAUCUAGAUGGUGACCCCGCGGUGGGAAGAUCUAAGCGGCGACCACCAGUGAUGAUCAUCCAAACACGCUUCAUGAACACUUCUUCAAUGACGGUAAGCCCUGAAGCCAUCGGAUUUGUAUGUAGGAGGCAAGUAAUAUCCUUCUGUUUCCGGUUUGGGUUGAAUUUGGGGGUCGAUUAAGGGUUUGAUUUUUGGGAGAAAUAUGAUUUGAUUUGGGGGAGAUCAAUGAUUUUAGGACUAAAUUGUGUAUUAUGUUCAUGUGUAUUACAUGUCUAAAUGAUCUUAUAUUUCUUCAUAGAGGGAGUAUGAUUUUAGUCCCGAUCGAAUCUGUAUGUAUAUGCAUGUUUCAUGGUGGUGUGUUGAGCUUCCUGAUCCUCACUGAUGCACAGUCCAUGUAUUAGGGUGACCAGUCAUACGACGGUUGGUUCAACAUAUUGUAGUUCUAAUCCUUGUACGAGCCGUCCCCUUCCAUGAUGGCACGCAGUGAAGAUCAUUCAAGCUUUACCGAUGCUUACUAGUGUAGUGAUGCAUUGUUGCUCUAUCACUGUAGUGGUGCAAUGUGGUAGUGUGUCAAGCUUCAUGAUCUUCAUUGCAGUGCUCUUCCGGCAAGCUAGUCCUAAGCAAUGCUCCUCAGGGCAAUUGCUCUAAGGAUGCAGGAGAAAGCAGUGUCUCUAAGAGGUGCGGGGGGAUGCCGACAAAGGUUGUACAGUUCCAUGAGGAAGUUUCUCCAACCCACUAAUGGAAGGUGCUGUUAGCACCCGGUUGGAGUUACUUCCCAUCCUUGAUACCGUCCAUCAGUACCUAGGCACCACCCCAAGGGAGAUCACUCUGAAGAGAAAACCAAAUGCAAAUGGAUUGUAAGGGGAGGGUUACCAUGGAUCAAGGGUGUCUAAGCUUUGCGAUUGCUCACCAGCUGCAGAUUAUCUAGCUACUUCCUGACCUUCAAGAUGUUGAACUAAGAUGUUUUUAGGGUCACCAUCUUUGACCGUUCUCGCGGAGGUCGUCAUCAAGUGUGUCGACCGCGGUCUAGCGCUUGAAAUGAUCAAUGAGUGAGGGUUUAAAUAUCUUUGUUUGUUAGCAUGUGUGUGAUGUGAACUAUUUUGACUAUUGUUCAAUGUUGUUGUUGCUACUUUAGUGUUGCUGCUACUAAUAUGUCGUAGUGUAAUCUAUGUUGUUUAGUAUUUUGUUCGUUAGUGUUGCUGCCACUCUUAUGCCUAUGACUUUGUCUGUCGGUAACCUCAGCACUCGAAGAAGACGUAACUACACCGCAUGCCUAGAACCUAAUCAACAACAACACAUUUCAUCUGGGGAGCACAGACUUGCAACCAAACAUGGUGCUGGUGUUUUCUGCUCUCAUGCAACCUAGGGCUUUGUGGGCAACCAAAUGUGACGUGCAAAACAUGGUUUAGAGGUUGUAUUAGCCCAUUCAACCUCUAUGGGUCACUCAUGCAAGGGGUCGAAAAUAGAUGGAAGCAACCGAACAUGCCCGAUGUAAUCGAUACAUACCUCAUGGUUCACAUGGACAUGGUUGUGGCCUGUGUUUGGACACCUUUUUCAUGAGAUUGUACCUAGGGCUAUGCAAGCCAUCUCUCUUGGUUGUAUUGGCUUGGAGUGGAUUGGAUUCUACCAUUGCCUCAUAUUUUAGGCCGAGUCAAAUGAGGACUGAGUUGAAAAUUUCAAACAAUAAUAACCUGAAGAAAACCAAAAAAAUGUGAAAAUUUCUAAAGGUAAGCAACACUUUUGUUGUUCUAGAUAACCAUGUCCUUGUUGAUAGAGCUAUAGCAGUUGGUACCAUUUUAGGCAAUGAUGUCUCUUAAAUUGAAGAAAACAAUUGGUUAAAAAGAUAUGAAAAUUAUUUAAAUAUAUAGACUGUCUAGAUUUCAUGAAGAUAAAACCCAAAUACUUAUGUUUCUCCUAGCAAACAUUAUGUUUAUGUUGUCUUGUUGCGAGAAAUUCAUGUUUGUUGUUAGAACAAGGGUAGUAUCAUGCAUGUACAUAAUAGGGGACUAAGCAUCAAAAUAUCUCUCAUUUGAAUGAAGGAGUAACUCAUCUUCGACCAAGGUUUUUUUUGAAAACGAUGAUAACCCCCGGCCUCUACAUCAAAAUGAUGCAUGCAACCAUAUUAUUAAAACAAAGUAUGAUCACAAGUCUGAAGUGCAAGUCUAGCUCUCAAAUGGAGCAAAGCAAGAAGAAAUAAAAACAGUGCCACAUUCGGCAAAAACAGUAACAGGCCAUGAUGCCUAUACACCUAGCCUAUUAGUAACUCGCCAUCCAAAACUGUUGAAGAUAAUCCGUGCUACCAUCUUCCAUCGGUUGCACCCAACAUCCAAACGCUCUCUGGAGUCCGCAUGGGCGAGUAACGACUGAUACGUCUCCGCCGUAUCUACUUUUUCUAACGCUUUUCCUCUUGUUUUGGACUCUAAUUUGCAUGAUUUGAAUGAAACUAACCUGGACCGAUGUUGUUUUCAGUAGAACUACCGUGGUGUUGUUUUUGUGCAGAAAUAAAAGUUCUCGGAUUGGAACGAAACUUUGCGAGGAAUUUUUAUACAAUAACAGAUAAUUUCUGGAGCCAAGAACCACCGGAUGAGGGCACGUGGGUGGGCACAACCCACCAGGGCGCGCACCCCCUACAGGCGUGCCCAGGUGGGUUGUCCUCUCCUGGUGGCCCCACAGACCUCAACCUUGAUACUAUAAAAUCACAUUUUCAGAGAAAAAAAUAGGAAGGAAGAUUUAUCAUGUUUCACGAGACGGAGCCGCUGCCACCUCAUGUUCUUCAUCGAGAGGCCAGAUCUAGAGUCCGUUUGGGGCUCCGAAGAGGGGGAUCUUCGAUCUUCAUCAUCACCAACCCUUCUCCAUCACCAAUUCCAUGAUGCUCCCUACUGGGAGUGAGUAAUUCCAUCGUAGGCUCUCUGGUCGGUGAGGAGUUGGAUGAGAUUCAUCAUGUAAUCGAGUUAGUUUUGUUAGGGCUUGAUCCCUAGUAUCCAUUAUGUUCUGAGAUUGAUAUUGCUAUGACUUUGCCAUGCUUAAUGCUUGUAACUUUGGUCCCGGGUGCCAUGAUUUCAGAUCUGAACCGUUUACAUUAUGACCAUUCUAUCUAUGUUCUAGAUCCGAUUUUGUAAGUUAUAGUCACCUACUACGUGUUAUGACCCGGCAACCCCGGAGUGACAGAAGUCGGGACACUUCCCGGUGAUGACCGUAGUUUGAGGUGUUCAUGUAUUCAUUAUGUGUUAAUGCUUUGUUCCGGAUCUCUAUUAAAAGGAUGUCUUAAUAUCCCUUGGUUUCUAAUAGGACCCCGCCGCCACGGGAGGGUAGGACAAAAGAUGUCAUGCAAGUUCUUUACGUAAACGCGUAUGACUAUUUACGAAAUACAUGCCUACAUUAUAUUUAUAAACUAGAGCUAGUGCCUUAUCGCCCUAGGUUAUGACUGUUAUAUGAUGAAUAUCAUCCAACGAAUUCACCAAUCCAAUGCCUAUGAAUUUCUCUUAUAUUGUUUAUGCUAAAUUACCAUUGUUACCGUUACUGUUACACUUGCUACAAAAUCAUUGAUAUCACUGCUACUAUUACUAUUAUUGUUGCUACUACUGUCAAAGCUAUCAUACGACUUUGCUACUGAUCACUUUGCUGCAGAUAAUUAAUCUCCAAGUGUGGUUGAAUUGACAACUCAGCUGCUAAUACUUGCAAAUAUUCUUUGACUCCCCUUGUGUCAAAUCAAUAAAUUUGGGUUGAAUAAUCUACCCUUGAAACUGUUGCGAUCCCCUAUACUUGUGGGUUAUCAACCACGUACGGAUCCAAGCAGUAGCUCUGUAUAUAACCUGCACAAAGUUGACAAAGUUUAUCUGGUUAAAUAUCAUGUCAUUCCUAGUGUUCCAUAUAGCCCAUAAUAAAGUGCAUACUCAUAUCGAAUAUGUCUCGCUGUGUUUGAAUCCACUCCGUUUAGUCACGUUCCAAAUAACUGUUGGGGAACAUAGUAAUUUCAAAAUUUUCCUAUGCACACGCAAGAUCAUGGUGUUGCAUAGCAACGAGAGGGGGAGAGUGUGAUCUACGUACCCUUGUAGAUCGACAAAGGAAGCGUUUGGUUGAUGUAGUCGUACGUCUCCACGGCCCGACCGAUCAAGCACCGAAACUACGGCACCUCCGAGUUCUAGCACACGUUCAGCUCGAUGACGAUCCCCGGACUCCGAUCCAGCAAAGUGUCGGGGAAGAGUUCCGUCAGCACGACGGUGUGGUGAUGAUCUUGAUGUACUGCCGUCGCAGGGCUUCGCCUAAGCACCGCUACAAUAUUAUCGAGGACUAUGGUGGAAGGGGGCACCGCACACGGCUAAGAAUAUGAUCACGUGGAUCAACUUGUGUGUCAAGGGGUGCCUCUUGCCUCCAUAUAUAAAGGAUCCAAGGGGGGGUGCGGCCGGCCCUAGUAGGAGGCGCGCAGGAGGAGUCCUACUCCUACCGGGAGUAGCACUCCCCUCCCUUUCCUUGUCCAAUUAGGAGAGGGGGAAGGAAGGGAGAGAGGAGAGGGGGGCGCCGCCCCUCCCUCCUUGUCCAAUUCGGACUAGGGGGAGAGGGGGCGCGCGUCCUGCCCUGGCAGCCCCUCCUCUUCUCCACUCUAGGCCCAUGAGGUCCAUUAACCGCCCGGGGGGUUCCGGUAACCCCCCGGUGCUCCGGUUUUAUCCGAAACUUCCCCGGAACACUUCCGGUGUCCGAAUAUAGCCGUCCAAUAUAUCAAUCUUUAUGUCUCAACCAUUUCGAGACUCCUCGUCAUGUCCGUGAUCACAUCCGGGACUCCGAACUAACUUCGGUACAUCAAAACUCAUAAACUCAUAAUAUAACUAUCAUCGAAACCUUAAGUGUGCGGACCCUACGGGUUCGAGAAUAAUGUAAGCAUGACCGAGACACGUCUCCGGUCAAUAACCAAUAGCGGAACCUGGAUGCUCAUAUUGGCUCCUACAUAUUCUAUGAAGAUCUUUAUCGGUCAGACCGAAUAACAACAUACGUUGUUCCCUUUGUCAUCGGUAUGUUACUUGCCCGAGAUUCGAUCGUCGGUAUCUCAAUACCUAGUUCAAUCUCGUUACCGGCAAGUCUCUUUACUCGUUCCGUAAUACAUCAUCUCGCAACUAACUCAUUAGUUGCAAUGCUUGCAAGGCUUAUGUGAUGUGCAUUACCGAGAGGGCCCAGAGAUACCUCUCCGACAAUCGGAGUGACAAAUCUUAAUCUCGAAAUACGCCAACCCAACAUGUACCUUUGGAGACACCUGUAGAGUACCUUUAUAAUCACCCAUUUACGUUGUGACAUUUGGUAGCACACAAAGUGUUCCUCCGGCAAACGGGAGUUGCAUAAUCUCAUAGUCAUAGGAACAUGUAUAAGUCAUGAAGAAAGCAAUAGCAACAUACUAAACGAUCGGGUGCUAAGCUAAUGGAAUGGGUCAUGUCAAUCAGAUCAUUCACCUAAUGAUGUGAUCCCGUUAAUCAAAUAACAACUCUUUGUUCAUGGUUAGGAAACAUAACCAUCUUUGAUUAACGAGCUAGUCAACUAGAGGCAUACUAGUGACACUCUGUUUGUCUAUGUAUUCACACAUGUAUUAUGUUUCCGGUUAAUGCAAUUCUAGCAUGAAUAAUAAACAUUUAUCAUGAUAUAAGGAAAUAAAUAAUAACUUUAUUAUUGCCUCUAGGGCAUAUUUCCUUCAGUCUCCCACUUGCACUAGAGUCAAUAAUCUAGACUACACAAUAAUGAUUCUAACACCCAUGGAGCCUUGGUGCUGAUCAUGUUUUGCUCGUGGAAGAGGCUUAGUCAACGGGUCUGCAACAUUCAGAUCCGUAUGUAUCUUGCAAAUCUCUAUGUCUCCCACCUGGACUAGAUCCCGGAUGGAAUUGAAGCGUCUCUUGAUGUGCUUGGUUCUCUUGUGAAAUCUGGAUUCCUUUGCCAAGGCAAUUGCACCAGUAUUGUCACAAAAGAUUUUCAUUGGACCCGACGCACCAGGUAUGACACCUAGAUCGGAUAUGAACUCCUUCAUCCAGACUCCUUCAUUUGCUGCUUCCGAAGCAGCUAUGUACUCCGCUUCACAUGUAGAUCCCGCUACAACGCUUUGUUUAGAACUGCACCAACUGACAGCUCCACCGUUUAAUGUAAACACGUAUCCGGUUUGCGAUUUAGAAUCGUCCGGAUUAGUGUCAAAGUUUGCAUCAACGUAACCUUUUACGAUGAGCUCUUUGUCACCUCCAUAAAUGAGAAACAUAUCCUUAGUCCUUUUCAGGUAUUUCAGGAUGUUCUUGACCGUUGUCCGGUGAUCCACUCCUAGAUCACUUUGGUACCUCCCUGCUAGACUUAUAGCAAGGCACACAUCAGGUCUGGUACACAGCAUUGCAUACAUGAUAGAGCCUAUGGCUGAAGCAUAGGGAACAUCUUUCAUUUUCUCUCUAUCUUCUGCAGUGGUCGGGCAUUGAGUCUUACUCAACUUCACACAUUGUAACACAGGCAAGAACCCUUUCUUUGCUUGAUCCAUUUUGAACUUCUUCAAAACUUUGUCAAGGUAUGUGCUUUGUGAAAGUCCAAUUAAGCGUCUUGAUCUAUCUCUAUAGAUCUUAAUGCCUAAUAUGUAAGCAGCUUCACCGAGGUCUUUCAUUGAAAAACUCUUAUUCAAGUAUCCCUUUAUGCUAUCCAGAAAUUCUAUAUCAUUUCCAAUUAGUAAUAUGUCAUCCACAUAUAAUAUCAGAAACGCUACAGAGCUCCCACUCACUUUCUUGUAAAUACAGGCUUCUCCAGAAGUCUGUAUAAAACCAAAUGCUUUGAUCACACUAUCAAAGCAUUUAUUCCAACUCCGAGAGGCUUGCACCAGUCCAUAAAUGGAUCGCUGGAGCUUGCACACUUUGUUAGCUUCCUUUGGAUCGACAAAACCUUCUGGUUGCAUCAUAUACAACUCUUCUUCUAGAAAUCCAUUCAGGAUGCAGUUUUGACAUCCAUCUGCCAAAUUUCAUAAUCAUAAAAUGCGGCAAUUGCUAACAUGAUUCGGACAGACUUAAGCAUCCCUACGGGUGAGAAGGUCUCAUCGUAGUCAAUCCCUUGAACUUGCCGAAAACCUUUUGCGACAAGUCGAGCUUUGUAGACAGUAAUAUUACCGUCAGCGUCAGUCUUCUUCUUGAAGAUCCAUUUAUUCUCAAUUGCUUGCCAAUCAUCGAGCAAGUCAACCAAAGUCCAUACUUUGCUCUCAUACAUGGAUCCCAUCUCAGAUUUCAUGGCUUCAAGCCAUUUUGCGGAAUCUGGGCUCACCAUCGCUUCUUCAUAGUUCAUAGGUUCAUCAUGAUCUAGUAGCAUGACUUCCAAAACAGGAUUACCGUACCACUCUGGUGCGGAUCUCACUCUGGUUGAUCUACGAGGUUCAGUAGUAUCUUGUUCUGAAGUUUCAUGAUCAUCAUCAUUAUCUUCCUCACUAACUAGUGUAGGUGUCACAGAAACAGUUUUCUAUGAUGCACUACUUUCCAAUAAGGGAGCAGGUACAGUUACCUCGUCAAGUUCUACUUUCCUCCCACUCACUUCUUUUGAGAGAAACUCCUUCUCCAGAAAGUUUCCGAACUUAGCAACAAAAGUCUUGCCUUCGGAUCUGUGAUAGAAGGUGUAUACAAUAGUCUCCUUUGGAUAUCCUAUGAAGACACAUUUCUCCGAUUUGGGUUCAAGCUUAUCAGGUUGAAGCUUUUUCACAUAAGCAUCGCAGCCCCAAACUUUCAGAAACGACAACUUUGGUUUCUUGCCAAACCAUAGUUCAUAAGGUGUCGUCUCAACGGAUUUUGAUGGUGCCCUAUUUAACGUGAAUGCGGCCGUCUCCAAAGCAUAACCCCAAAAUAAUAGUUGUAAAUCAGUAAGAGACAUCAUAGAUCGCACCAUAUCUAAUAAAGUACGAUUACGACGUUCGGACACACCAUUACACUGUGGUGUUCCGGGUGGCGUGAGUUGCGAAACUAUUCCGCAUUGUUUCAAAUGUACACCAAACUCGUAACUCAAAUAUUCUCCUCCACGAUCAGAUCGUAGAAAUUUUAUUUUCUUGUUACGAUGAUUUUCAACUUCACUCUGAAAUUCUUUGAACUUUUCAAACGUUUCAGACUUAUGUUUCAUUAAGUAGAUAUACCCAUAUCUGCUUAAGUCAUCUGUGAAGGUGAGAAAAUAACGAUAUCCGCCACGAGCCUCAAUAUUCAUUGGACCACAUACAUCUGUAUGUAUGAUUUCCAACAAAUCUGUUGCUCUCUCCAUAGUACCGGAGAAUGGAGUUUUAGUCAUCUUGCCCAUGAGGCACGGUUCGCAAGUACCAAGUGAUUCGUAAUCAAGUGGUUCCAAAAGUCCAUAAGUAUGGAGUUUCUUCAUGCGCUUUACACCGAUAUGACCUAAACGGCAGUGCCAUAAAUAAGUUGCACUAUCAUUAUCAACUCUACAUCUUUUGGCUUCAACACUAUGAAUAUGUGUGUCACUACUUAUCGAGAUUCAAUAAAAAUAGACCACUCUUUAAGGGUGUAUGACCAUAAAAGAUAUUACUCAUAUAAAUAGAACAACCAUUAUUCUCAGAUUUAAAUGAAUAACCGUCUCGCAUCAAACAAGAUCCAGAUAUAAUGUUCAUGCUUAACGCUGGCACCAAAUAACAAUUAUUUAGGUCUAAUAUUAAUCCCGAAGGUAGAUGUAGAGGUAGCGUGCCGACUGCGAUCACAUCGACUUUGGAACCGUUUCCCACACGCAUCGUCACCUCGUCCUUAGCCAAUCUUCGCUUAAUCCGUAGUCCCUGUUUCGAGUUGCAAAUAUUAGCAACAGAACCAGUAUCAAAUACCCAGGUGCUACUGCGAGCAUUAGUAAGGUACACAUCAAUAACAUGUAUAUCACAUAUACCUUUGUUCACCUUGCCAUCCUUUUUAUCCGCCAAAUACUUGGGGCAGUUCCGCUUCCAGUGACCAGUCUGCUUGCAGUAGUAGCACUCAGUUUCAGGCUUAGGUCCAGACUUGGGUUUCUUCUCUUGAGUAGCAACUAGCUUGCCGUUCUUUUUGAAGUUCCCCUUCUUCUUCCCUUUGGCCUUUUUCUUGAAACUAGUGGUCUUGUUAACCAUCAACACUUGAUGCUCCUUCUUGAUUUCUACCUCCGCAGCUUUCAGCAUUGCGAAGAGCUCGGGAAUAGUCUUAUUCAUCCCUUGCAUAUUAUAGUUCAUCAUGAAGCUCUUGUAGCUUGGUGGCAGUGAUUGGAGAAUUCUGUCAAUGACGCAAUCAUCUGGAAGAUUAACUCCCAAUUGAAUCAAGUGAUUAUUAUACCCAGACAUUUUGAGUAUAUGCUCACUGACAGAACUGUACUCUUCCAUCUUGCAGCUAUAGAACUUAUUGGAGACUUCAUAUCUCUCAAUCCGGGCAUUUGCUUGAAAUAUUAACUUCAACUCCUGGAACAUCUCAUAUGCUCCAUGACGUUCAAAACGUCGUUGAAGUCCCGAUUCUAAGCCGUAAAGCAUGGCACACUGAACUAUCGAGUAGUCAUCAGCUUUGCUCUGCCAGACGUCCAUAACAUCUGGUGUUGCUCCAGCAGCAUGUCUGGCACCCAGCGGUGCUUCCAGGAUGUAAUUCUUCUGUGCAGCAAUGAGGAUAAUUCUCAAGUUACGGACCCAGUCCGUAUAAUUGCUACCAUUAUCUUUCAACUUUGCUUUCUCAAGGAACGCAUUAAAAUUCAACGGAACAACAACACGAGCCAUCUAUCUACAAUCAAGCAUAAACAAGCAAGAUACUAUCGGGUACUAAGUUUCAUGAUAAAUUUAGGUUCAAUUAAUUUACUUAAAGAACUCCCACUUAGAUAGACAUCUCUCUAAUCCUCUAAGUGAUUACGUGAUCCAAAUCAACUAAACCAUGUCCGAUCAUCACGUGAGAUGGAGUAGUUUCAUUGGUGAACAUCACUAUGUUGAUCAUAUCUACUAUAUGAUUCACGCUCGACCUUUCGGUCUCCGUGUUCCGAGGCCAUAUCUGUAUAUGCUUGGCUCGUCAAGUAUAACCUGAGUAUUCCGCGUGUGCAACUGUUUUGCACCCGUUGUAUUUAAACGUAGAGCCUAUCACACCCGAUCAUCACGUGGUGUCUCAACACGAAGAACUUUCGCAACGGUGCAUACUCAGGGAGAACACUUCUUGAUAAUUAGUGAGAGAUCAUCUUAUAAUGCUACCGUCAAACAAAGCAAGAUAAGAUGCAUAAAAGAUAAACAUCACAUGCAAUCAAUAUAAGUGAUAUGAUAUGGCCAUCAUCAUCAUGCGCUUGUGAUCUCCAUCUUCGAAGCACCGUCGUGAUCACCAUCGUCACCGGCGCGACACCUUGAUCUCCAUCGUAGCAUCGUUGUCGUCUCGCCAAUCUUAUGCUUCCACGACUAUCGCUACCGCUUGUUGCAUACAAUAAAGUGACAACCAUAUGGCUCCUGCCAGUUGCCGAUAACUUGGUUACAAAACAUGAUCAUCUCAUACAAUAAAAUUUAGCAUCAUGUCUUGACCAUAUCACAUCACAACAUGCCCUGCAAAAACAAGUUAGACGUCCUCUACUUUGUUGUUGCAAGUUUUACGUGGCUGCUACGGGCUUAAGCAAGAACCAAUCUUACCUACGUAUCAAAACCACAACGAUAGUUUGUCAAGUUGGUGCUGUUUUAACCUUCGCAAGGACCGGGCGUAGCCACACUCGGUUCAAAUAAAGUUGGAGAAACUGUCACCCGCAAGCCACCUAUGUGCAAAGCACGUCGGGAGAACCGGUCUCGCGUAAGCGUACACGUAAUGUCGGUCUGGGCCGCUUCGUCCAACAAUACCGCUGAACCAAAGUAUGACAUGCUGGUAGGCAGUAUGACUUAUAUAGCCCACAACUCACUUGUGUUCUACUCGUGCAUAUAACAUCAACAUAUAAAACCUAAGCUCUGAUACCACUGUUGGGGAACGUAGUAAUUUCAAAAUUUUCCUACGCACAUGCAAGAUCAUGGUGAUGCAUAG